Long non-coding RNA from Pipra filicauda (Wire-tailed manakin), 139 nucleotides. RefSeq lists it as uncharacterized. Lineage: Eukaryota; Metazoa; Chordata; Aves; Passeriformes; Pipridae. The record is from RefSeq and is a predicted model, not a curated record. The transcript has 2 exons.
AAACUUGUUAAACAGGUUUGGAUGUUUUUUAAGAGCCAUUAAGCCGUCGGAGAAGAAAGAAGAGACAGCAGUGGAACUUCGAGGCAAGAGCGAAGAAGACGAGCAGCAGCGUCGAGCUCAAGAGGGGGCACGACAGAGA